CCGUACAAUCUUUCACGUAUACGACAUAUGUCUACAAGCCUCUAAGAAUACAUAUAUGCCAUAAAGGUCGGAAUAGAGUCCCGCCAUACCAAACAAUACACGUCUAAAUCAUACUAACCAAACGAGCAACUCCGAAGCAAAUGGAGCGCACCAACAUCUUCUGCUGAGCUGAUAGUCUACUUGGAGGGCUCUCGACCUGUCUAUAGGGACCUAAGGGCAUAAAAUGCACCAUCCCCAGGCAAAGGGACGUCAGUACAAAUAAUGGACCGAGUAUGUAAGGCACAUAAAUAAAUACAUUAGAGACAUGAAAGACAUAUAAAGCACAUGACUCAACCUGUACGUCUGAAUAACUUUGUAAAUCAUAAAUUGCUUUUAACGUCAUGCAUAUGCGUAUGAAUGACAUGUCGUGCAUAGGUACAUGUUUUAUAACAUCAUCAGCCUCUGAGGGCAUCAUAUCAUAUCAUAUCGGUCACUGAGGGCAAAAUCAUCAUCGUAUACCAGCUGAUCAGGUGGUGGUGCGUAUAUAACGCCAUAACCUUUCCCAUAUCCUAUAUGCAUAUAUAUACGUGUAUAUAACGCCGUUUGAGUACAUACAUAUAUAUGCGUAUAUAACAAGAUUUGAAUCAUAUUUCAGCCACUUUGGGCAUCAUCAUCAUCAUAUACCAGCUGAUCAGGUGGUGGUGCGUAUAUAACGCCGUAACCUUUUCCCAUAUACCAUAUACAUAUAUUUACAUAUAUACGCGUAUAUAACGCCAUCUGGUCAUGGGUCAAUGUACAUGAAUGCAAUGCAUGAAACGUACGUCAAUAAAAUCAUUUGGAAUGUUAUAAGACCAUUUUGCCUCUUGAGCAAUAUCAUAAAGUAACAUCUUUUCAACUUUUGUAUUUUUCUGAGACCCAUGAACAAAUGAUAAAAUAUUAUGACACAUGGAAAUUAAAGAACAUAGAUAUUUCUAUUACUUCUAUGAGUAGAGUCACUUAUGGAAUUUGUGCAUUUGCACAUUUCGUAUCGUAUGGAUCAUGCCAAAAGAAAGAAAGGAUAGCCUUAACAUACCUAUUCUUUGAAUUAUCCGAAUGAAAUGAAGCUUCUGCUUUUGAAUCCUUGAGCGAAAAUUGGCACUGGAUUCCUUGAAAUUUUGGACGGAAUCGUUUCUGCUUUAAAACGUUUUUGUGUACUAUGAGAAUUGGCUUAUGAUCUCUAAAAUGUUUUCCUGCUUUUGUAUACUUUGGGACGUUAGUUUCCUUUAUCCAAAAUGAAGAAACUUAACUUUUUGAUCUCUAAUGUAGUUAGAAUGAAAU
Molecule: long non-coding RNA, 1296 nt
Filed under: Nicotiana tabacum (common tobacco)
Lineage: Eukaryota; Viridiplantae; Streptophyta; Magnoliopsida; Solanales; Solanaceae
Description: long non-coding RNA (NTAB_LNC019258)
Source: RNAcentral